Non-coding RNA from Myodes glareolus (Bank vole), 688 nucleotides. Lineage: Eukaryota; Metazoa; Chordata; Mammalia; Rodentia; Cricetidae. The record is from RefSeq and is a predicted model, not a curated record.
ACCAGGAAUUGGUUCUCAUCACUCGGGUGAUGUUCUUUGCCUUGAUGUCAUACUCAAAUUGCCUUGAGCCACGGAAGAAAUAGAAGAAGCCUAGGAGCAAAGAGGCAUGUGGAAGCACUGACACCCACCGUUAUGCUGGAAAACAGCGUCCACACGAAUGCCAAUUCCUGGGAAGUACUUCACUAUCCUCUGUGGGAACCUUCUGUCCAUGACUUGUGCCAUCUCAUCAUACCUGCAUGAAAAGAUUCCAAAGGCUUGAUGUCUGUUUGGUGAACUUAAUCUUUCUACUGCUCAGUUUAGCAGGGUUAUGAGGACUGGCAGAAGAAAUCAUCUAAUAGGACCAAUGAUAAAAAUGUGACAAAGAUUGUUCGAAUAAUCGUGUGUGUGUAUGCAUGCGCGUGCACAUGCACGUGUGUGUGGGCAUACACAGAAUUCCAAAUGUGCGUGCACAUUUGCUGCUGUACCCAAGUUUUGACCUAAGUCUGGGAAUUGAACGUAGGUUCUCAUGUGUGUAAAGUAAGUGCUUUGUUGACUGAGCCAUCUCCCCAUCCUCCACUUACCAUCUCUUAGAAACAGUAAGAACAAUGAAUGCUAGGGGCUAAGAUAUAGUUUUGUGGACAAGGACUGUAAACCACCACCACCAACAACAAAACCACUGAGGAAAAGGCCCCACCAUCUGUCAGAGUAG